UUCUUUCUUUCUUUUUCUUUCUUUUUCUAACUCUUUCCCUUCUCCUUUACGUGAAAGCCACCAACACCACGCCACCUUGCAGCCACCCGACGCCGACCACGUCCGGCUGCCCAGCCACCGUCGGCGACCCGCAGCCAGCCACCGCGGUGGAGACUUUAAGUUGAGUAAUUUCUAGCAUUGUGGCUAGUUGGAAAGAUGAUUUAAUUAAGGUACGUAUAAGAAUACGAGAAAACUUGAUUUUAGGAGCAUGUU
Long non-coding RNA from Chenopodium quinoa (quinoa), 252 nucleotides. RefSeq lists it as uncharacterized. NCBI's taxonomy places the organism in Eukaryota, Viridiplantae, Streptophyta, Magnoliopsida, Caryophyllales, Amaranthaceae. The record is from RefSeq and is a predicted model, not a curated record. The transcript is spliced from 2 exons.